GGGCCCGUAGCUCAGCUGGAAGAGCGUCCGGUUUGCAGCCGGAAGGCCCCGGGUUCAAAUCCCGGUGGGUCCA
RNAcentral lists this transfer RNA (73 nucleotides) under archaeon BMS3Bbin15. RNAcentral's name for it is "tRNA-Ala". It matches the Rfam family "tRNA". From Rfam's summary of the family: Transfer RNA (tRNA) molecules are approximately 80 nucleotides in length. Their secondary structure includes four short double-helical elements and three loops (D, anti-codon, and T loops). Further hydrogen bonds mediate the characteristic L-shaped molecular structure. tRNAs have two regions of fundamental functional importance: the anti-codon, which is responsible for specific mRNA codon recognition, and the 3' end, to which the tRNAs corresponding amino acid is attached (by aminoacyl-tRNA synthetases). tRNAs cope with the degeneracy of the genetic code in two manners: having more than one tRNA (with a specific anti-codon) for a particular amino acid; and 'wobble' base-pairing, i.e. permitting non-standard base-pairing at the 3rd anti-codon position. The record is from RNAcentral. RNAcentral also lists the same sequence under 1 other name.